GUGGGGAAUUUUGGACAAUGGGCGCAAGCCUGAUCCAGCAAUGCCGCGUGCAGGAAGAAGGCCUUCGGGUUGUAAACUGCUUUUGUACGGAACGAAACGGUCCGGGCUAAUACCCUGGGCUAAUGACGGUACCGUAAGAAUAAGCACCGGCUAACUACGUGCCAGCAGCCGCGGUAAUACGUAGGGUGCAAGCGUUAAUCGGAAUUACUGGGCGUAAAGCGUGCGCAGGCGGGUUUGUAAGACAGGCGUGAAAUCCCCGGGCUCAACCUGGGAAUUGCGCUUGUGACUGCAAGGCUGGAGUGCGGCAGAGGGGGAUGGAAUUCCGCGUGUAGCAGUGAAAUGCGUAGAUAUGCGGAGGAACACCGAUGGCGAAGGCAAUCCCCUGUGCCUGCACUGACGCUCAUGCACGAAAGCGUGGGGAGCAAACAGGAUUAGAAACCCGAGUAGUCC
This 450-nucleotide ribosomal RNA is filed under the name uncultured bacterium. Its description in RNAcentral is "partial 16S ribosomal RNA". It matches the Rfam family "Bacterial small subunit ribosomal RNA", at positions 354 to 796 of the family's 1533-position model. The record is from RNAcentral.